GCUGCAAAAAGCCUGCGGCGCUCGGAGGCGCCCGGUCCUGGGGACCUCUUUCCACUCUUUACUCUCGGGAUAGGAGGAUAGGACUGGGGGGUUGCUUUUCGGUUUUCUGGCUUUGUUUUUAUCGGGGGUUGGACGGGUUUUAUGUUUCCUAUUUUUCCUCUUUAUUUUUCUCGGGUUUUUUUUCUCUCUUUUUUUUUUUCGCCUUUUCUUUCCUGUCAUUCUCCCAGCCAAAAGCCGCCUUCGAUCCUUUUGAUUUGAUGUAGCAAAGAUUGUGUCCAGAUUAUCUGAAAUUGACACUGAAGAAGGCCAAACCCAAACCUCAUUAUGUGAUGCUGGAGAUCAUAUCUAGGUGGGCUCGAGCAAGGCAAGAGCCUCAUCUGCUGGCCCAUCACUCCAGUCCUCCCAUCCUUCCAACCCAGCUCUUGCUCCAGUUCCCACCUGGACGUUGGAAACCCAUGCCAAGCUGAUCCGAACCCUCCUGGACUUUCUAGGGUAUUCAAAGAAAUCCGGAAAGGAAGGUUUUUGCUUUGGGGUCUGAUAUGCCUGGCUCAGCGCACAGAACCACCCAGAGGCCCAGCCAGUGGCAAGGGACGCUCUCGGAUUUGUCUUUUGCUGGAUUAGUUGCGCACGUACCUGGAUCCUCCAGGCGGCUCUGGGCGAGGCUGGCGCUGCCGGGGUAGGACUGCACCGAACUGAUGUAGGGGCUGGACGCGUGGCUGCUGACCGAGUUGACGUAAGGGUAGCCCAGCGGUCGGGAGAAG
This is a long non-coding RNA of Sorex araneus (European shrew), 761 nucleotides long. RefSeq lists it as uncharacterized. The record is from RefSeq and is a predicted model, not a curated record. The transcript has 5 exons. NCBI's taxonomy places the organism in Eukaryota, Metazoa, Chordata, Mammalia, Eulipotyphla, Soricidae.